Molecule: transfer RNA, 71 nt
Filed under: Fidelibacterota bacterium
Lineage: Bacteria; Pseudomonadati; Fidelibacterota
Description: tRNA-Gln
Rfam family: tRNA
About the family: Transfer RNA (tRNA) molecules are approximately 80 nucleotides in length.
Source: RNAcentral
UGGGGGAUCGUUCAAUGGUAGGACACAUGGUUUUGGUCCAUGCGAUCGGGGUUCGACUCCCUGUCCCCCAG